UCCUUAGAUGUUCUGGGCGGCCCGCGCACUACAUUGGCACUCUCAAUAAGUUCCUAGAUCUAAAACUUUGGGGUAUUCUAUUAAGUGGUGUCGUGACUGGGAUUAACCCUUGCAAUUAUUGGUUACGAACGAGGAAUUCCUUGUAAUCGCGGUUUAUCAGCCCGCGUUGAAUGCGUCCCUGCCCUUUGUACACACCGCCCGUCGCUCCUACCGAUGAAUCGUCCGGUGAAGUUCAUGGAGUGGUGGUUGUUCCAGCUGCUGUCGAAGUGAAAUGGACCUCACGAUUUAGAGGAAGGAGAAGUCGUAACA
Molecule: ribosomal RNA, 309 nt
Filed under: uncultured eukaryote
Lineage: Eukaryota
Description: partial 18S ribosomal RNA
Rfam family: Eukaryotic small subunit ribosomal RNA
Source: RNAcentral